Molecule: transfer RNA, 87 nt
Filed under: Actinomycetota bacterium
Lineage: Bacteria; Bacillati; Actinomycetota
Description: tRNA-Ser
Rfam family: tRNA
About the family: Transfer RNA (tRNA) molecules are approximately 80 nucleotides in length. Their secondary structure includes four short double-helical elements and three loops (D, anti-codon, and T loops).
Source: RNAcentral
GGAGGGGUGGCAGAGCGGUCGAAUGCGGCGGUCUUGAAAACCGCUUGGGCUUCACGGCCCACCUGGGUUCGAAUCCCAGUCCCUCCG